UUUAUGGAGAGUUUGAUCCUGGCUCAGGAUGAACGCUGGCGGCGUGCCUAAUACAUGCAAGUCGAGCGAACGGACGAGAAGCUUGCUUCUCUGAUGUUAGCGGCGGACGGGUGAGUAACACGUGGAUAACCUACCUAUCAGACUGGGAUAACUUCGGGAAACCGGAGCUAAUACCGGAUAAUAUUUUGAACCGCAUGGUUCAAAAGUGAAAGACGGUCUUGCUGUCACUUAUAGAUGGAUCCGCGCUGCAUUAGCUAGUUGGUAAGGUAACGGCUUACCAAGGCAACGAUGCAUAGCCGACCUGAGAGGGUGAUCGGCCACACUGGAACUGAGACACGGUCCAGACUCCUACGGGAGGCAGCAGUAGGGAAUCUUCCGCAAUGGGCGAAAGCCUGACGGAGCAACGCCGCGUGAGUGAUGAAGGUCUUCGGAUCGUAAAACUCUGUUAUUAGGGAAGAA
Molecule: ribosomal RNA, 459 nt
Filed under: Staphylococcus aureus
Lineage: Bacteria; Bacillati; Bacillota; Bacilli; Caryophanales; Staphylococcaceae
Description: bacterial SSU rRNA
Rfam family: Bacterial small subunit ribosomal RNA
Source: RNAcentral